Molecule: ribosomal RNA, 214 nt
Filed under: uncultured Desulfovibrio sp.
Lineage: Bacteria; Pseudomonadati; Thermodesulfobacteriota; Desulfovibrionia; Desulfovibrionales; Desulfovibrionaceae
Description: partial 16S ribosomal RNA
Rfam family: Bacterial small subunit ribosomal RNA
Source: RNAcentral
UGGGGACGACGUCAAGUCAUCAUCGGCCCUUACGCCUAGGGCUACACACGUACUACAAUGGCGCAUAACGAAAGGGCAGCGAUACCGCGAGGUGGAGCCAACUACCCAAAAAGUGCGUCCCAGUCCGGAUUGCAGUCUGCAACUCGACUGCAUGAAGUUGGAAUCGCUAGUAAUUCGAGAUCAGCAUGCUCGGGUGAAUGCGUUCCCGGGCCUU